RNAcentral lists this long non-coding RNA (5728 nucleotides) under Gossypium barbadense (sea-island cotton). Its description in RNAcentral is "long non-coding RNA (GBAR_LNC002746)". Lineage: Eukaryota; Viridiplantae; Streptophyta; Magnoliopsida; Malvales; Malvaceae. The record is from RNAcentral.
UAAGCUUUAGUCAAAAAAAUUAAAAAAUGUCACAUGUCAAUUAUUCAAUGCACUAACUAAUUUAAAAAAAUAUUUUAAUUAGGGUCACUAAAUUAAAAAAAAUAUUAAAAAGAUCAAAAUAGGACCAACCUUAAAGUGACUAAAGAUGAAUUUAUCCUUUUUAACUUUUAUCAAGAAUUCCAUACUUCAAGUAAGGCAAGAGUGUCGUUUUAUAUAUAUAUAUAUAAUUAAUUGUAUCAAAACCUCAAAUAUAAAAUUAAAUAUAUCAUUAUAUUUGUUGUAAUAAAUGCUUCUAAUAGCAGUAGAACUAUAGUAAAGAAAAAAAAUAUAUAUAUAUAGAUUUUAUAUGGAAACUUUUUCGGAAAAAAAUCAAGGGCAAAAGAAGAUGAAAUUAAUUAAUGUUGAAAAAUAAAUGAUACAAAAGUGUUAAAAAAUUAUUUUCUAAUCGAAGUCAAAUAGAAUAAAAAUAGUUAAGUACGGAUUCAAUUUAUGUUGUAUAGUUCGUACCACAGGGGCUUCGCCCCCACACCUUCGGUCACAACCCUUAUCCAAUUUUGUGUUUAAUAGCCUUUAGCCUUUCCCCUACAUAUCCUAUUAUUUUGCCAUUGUAUUUAUUUUUUUAACAAGUGAUGAAUUCAGAUCACACAAUCUCUAACAAUAUUUGUAUUAAAAAAUAACGUAUUAUUAUUAUAUUAUUAAAUUAACCUAGUAUUGGCUAAAAAUGUAUAUUGAUAUCAUAUUUUUAUGUUUUCAAAAUUAUAUUAAUUGGGUAAAGCACUCUUCUGCCUCCUUAGCGUACACGUCAAUAUAUAUGACUGUUAGUCUCUGCCAACUUCUUACUUACAACCAAAAUUUCCCCAUUUUGUUAACGUCGACACAAAUGUUACACAUUUUCUGAGUUAACAUCAAUUUAUCACCUUAUUUCAAUUAACAUUAUAAUUAAAUUAUAAAUUAUUAAGGUUAUAUCCAUUAGUUGCUUUUAUUGUUGCAUUGAAUCGGAAAAUGAUUUUGAAUCGGUUAGACUGAAAAUCGGUACGAAUCGAUUAAAAAAUCAAUUGAAUUAAGUUUUUUUCUAAAAAAAAUUUAAUAAAUUUUCAAUCAAAUUAGUUAGACCAGUCAUACCAAUGAAUCGAAAAUUUGAUCGGUUUGACCAUAUAUCUAAUUUAAAAAAAUAUUACAUUUUAUAAGGCAUAAUUUAAAAUAAAAAAACAACAAAAAAAAUUAAAGAAAAAAAUAAAUAAAACAUUGAAGCUUUUGUAGAAGUUUCCAUUUUUAUUUUAUGCAACAAUUGUUUUCAUUUUUCUUUUAUUUUUCUCAACUCUUAACUUUUUUUAUGUUCUUUUUUUUUAAAACUUUUUUUACCAAAUAAGAUCAAAUAUGUCACUAAACAAUUAAAUUAACGAUUUUAAUAAUAAGAGAACUUUAUUGAUAUAAAUUCAAUACUUAAAAAAUGUAAUUAAAAUAUUUUAAAAUUUUAAAUUUAAUUUUAAAUUGGAGGUCAUAAUUGAGACUUCUGAUGCAAUUAAUCAUUUUCUUUUAUUUUCAAUAUUAAAAAUUUUGACAUCGUAAACAUAAAUAAAUUAUGAAAAUGAUAUGAUACAUUAUCAAUAAAAUUAAGUAAUUACCAAUAAAUGAUUAGAAUUUCAGAGAUGAUAUUAUUGAGAGAGACAACUCUGAAUUUUGAACAUAAAUUAUAAAAUAGACAUAAAAAAUAUCAAAAAUAAAAAAAAUUAAGAAACAAAGAUAACGAUUCUUGACGUUAUUCAAAAAAUAAUAAAAAAUAAUGACUUGACAUUAGUUUUUUCACUAAUAAUAUGUAAAAUACUAACUUAUAAAUUAUACAGUUAAAUAUAAAAUAAAAUACAGUAUUAAAUUAUAUUUUAAUUUGUCUGAGGAAAAAAAAAAGGAAUUUUAUUAUAUCAAAAAGGACAAUGAUACGUAUCGGACAAAAAUGAACAUGUUUGCAUGAAUCACGUAAAUGAAACAAAAUAUUUAAUUAAAAAUAAAAUAAUAAAUGCUCAUACUUUAAAAUUAUAACUAUUAUAUUUAUUCUAAAAAAUUAUUUAUUAGUAUAUAUUUAUUAUGAUUAUAAUUAUGAUUUAUAAAUUAUUAUUAAUGGUGUAAUUAUAUAUUAUUAUAAUUAUGGUUCAUAAAUUUAUUUCAAUAUUAUAUAUAAGUUACAAUAAAAACAAAAAAUUAAUUUUAUGAAAAUUUAUAUUAAAAAUAUUAAAAAAAUUCGAACUGAUUUUUCUAAUUGAUUUAAGACCUUGAAUGAUAUUAACUUAACUAGAAGCUUUAUUAUAACUAGAAAUUCUAUCACACAUGUAUACAUGUGAAAACCAUGCAUUUAGAAGAUAGAUAUGUGUCUGAAAAUAACAUAAAAUAAAUAAUGAAACGUAUGUGUUAAAACUAAUUAAUAAUAACAAAUUAAAUAUGUACAAUAUUCAAUAGAAUAAUUAAAUUAAAUUGUGAGCAAAACGGAAUUUAAACACAUAAAUAUAUCGGAUUAAGAAUACAAAAUGAGUACAGUUGUUUAUCAUGGUGUUGACAUGUGACACUAACUCAAUUAACAACGUUAUUAAUACUAGAGUGCAUAUGCGUGUAAAAAACUACAAAUUUAGAACGCAAAUGUAUGUUUAAAAAUAACAUAUAAUAAAUAAUGAAACAUAUGAUUUGAAACUAAUUAAUAAUAACAUAAGAAAUACAUACAAUAUUAAAAUUAAAAAAAUAAUUUAGCACUAUUUUCAAAAUCAAAUCGGACCAGUUGAUCGAAUCGAUUGAACGAGGGAUAUUGAUUAAGAAUAACGGAUUGAGUUGAUAGACUUACAGAUUGAUUGAACUGAUGAUCGGACCAAUUAAACAAAUCUUUUUUUAUUUUAAUUAUUUUUAAUAAUUUAUUUAAUCAAAUUAUAUAAAUAGAUCUGAUAAAAAUUCGUAAUCGAACUAAUUAAAUUAUUUAUCGAAUUUUGAAAAUGUGAAUAGUUAAAAUUUUCUUAAUUAAAUUAAUAUUUAUUUCACUCCCAACAUCAUAACAUAUAAAUAAAAAAAUGGGCCCCACUGAGAGGUCUUUAACACUGAAUUGGGAACCACAACUGUCGAUAACCACGAAGCCCAACCGCACACCUCUUUGCCGCGUACAUUAGCAACCGAAACCUCUCCCGCUCUAAUUUACGCUCACUCGGUUACGCCCACCACCAUCGCCUUUCUUCUCGCUACUUGUUAAAGUUGUAAUUUGCUUUGCUUCCUCUGCUCUCCACGCAAUAAUUUACCAAAUAAAUAAAUAAAUAAAUUCUUUCCCAUUUAUUCACUCAACCCAGAAAAGCAAUUAGCUAAAUAAAUAAUCUAAAUUUCUUAAAAAAAAUUGAAAAUUAUGUUUCUAUUUAUGAUUACUUGUUUAAGAUUUUAAUGCAGAGAUAUUAAGGGGAAAAAUAAAAUAAAAAUGGCUUCUCUACAGAUGUUGAACCCUGUGUUUUCUUCCAUUUCCAUUUCCCACUCAAAUUUUCCGGGAAAAUCUGAUUCCAGGAACAAACUUCUCAACUUCAAUAGUUGUAGAAGCUUCAAGUCCUUGCACAGCCAAAGAUCUAUUAUUCGUUGUGCAACUCAAGAUGGUGACAACAAAAACAAUGGUAUGUUCUUCCAUUUCUAAAGAUUCUUUUUUUUUUUUACUCAUUUUAGUUGUAUAAAAAAUUCUGAAACUAACCCAAGUCAAGUCCUUCAAAAAUAAGUUGAAAUUUUGGUUCAUUGGGUGCUUAUAAAAUUGUAUUUUUAUGGGUUUUGUUUUGAAUUAGGUGAAGAGUCACCUGAGUCACUGUUUAUGAAGGAGUUGAAGAGGAGGGGGAUGACACCAACUUCACUGGUAGAGGAUGCUAAAAAUACCAAUUAUGGAUUAGAUGAGGAGAUGAAAGUAGGGGAAGAAAGGGGAAGUGUCUCCAAAAGGAAUGUUGUGUCAACUGAAUUUGAUCAAAGCUUAUCUAAUCAAAGGGAACGAUCCAUGGAAUUGAAUAGUGAAGGCCUUGAGGUUUAUUGCUUUUUUUCUAUUUACUCAAUGAUUUUGCAUGCUGGUGUGCCUUGGUUUGACCUCAUUUAACAAUCUUGCUUAUGUUCAUUUCAAACCUUAAGCACAAUUAUGUACCGUAUGAAUUGUGAUGGUAGCUUCAUAAUCUGAAUGAUCUAGAUCUUGGACUUUGUUUCAAUGAACUUUUAUAUAGAUGAUAUCAUACAUUUUUGGUAUUGUUAUUAAACAUUUCAAGGAACUAGAUUUCUCUAUCUUCGGUUCGGAGAAUGUUAUGGAACCAACAAGAACAUCAUCUCUUUGUUUUUACUUUCAUUUCAUAGUAAUUUGUUCACAUAAAACUGUCUGUCUUGUGAAUAUUUGAUGUGUUUAUUCAUUAUCUCUUUACUUCAAGUAAUGUGCAUGAUUUCAUUUAAUUUGUGAAUGCAAGGAUAUGUGAGAUGGCAAUUGAACUUAUAUAUAUAAUCGUUGUUCAGGGGCUGGUUCCGCGGGCUAAACUGUUGCUAACACUAGGAGGGACUUUCUUCCUCAGCUUCUGGCCUUUCAUCCUUUCAACUAUAGCAUUCUUUUCUGCUCUCUACCUUGUAAGCUCCCUUUCUUCCACUUUUCAGUUUUAGCUUUAGGAAGAACAAAGAAGCUCCCUGUCAUCAUGCGCUGUAGUAUUUGUAAUGUGCUGAUAAUUUUCCCAUGGGCAGUAUUUCGGACCAUCUUUCAUUCACGAUGGAAGUAAGACACCCGUUUCGCCACCGCAAUACAUAGAUCCUUAUACACUUCUGGAAGAUGAAAGGAUUUCCCAAACUGCCCCUCAUGUAAAUUGAAGGACAAGUGUUACCACCAUACAACAAAAUUCUUGGGGUUUAAAUAACAGGUUUAUAUUGUCAUAUUCCCUUCACCUCCUGUAAUCUUUGUAAAUACAAAUAUCAGCAGGAACUUCAUGCGAUGGCUCAGUAUCUUCCUUACUGUUUUUACUGGGACAAUUCCCGCUCAAAUUGGCCUCAAUUACAUAUAGAUGACUUUAUAUUUGUUACCAUUGUUUUUAUAGUCACACGCAUGGGUUCAACUAGUUUAAAUUCUUUUCAGCAAUGGAACACUAGAAACUUAGCCGAACUACUCGUCAAAUCUAUUGCAGUCCAUAUAGUCUUGAACAAAGCUUAGAAGAGUCGAAGUUCACACAAUAGAAUAAGCAAAAACACACGAUAAAAGGAAACAAAUCAUUGGGUAGCAAAAUGCAAGCCCUCCACUCAAACAUUACUUAUUUAGUACUCAUCUUCACCUUCCUCAUCACCCUCGCCUGACUCAGCACCGACUUCUUCAUAAUCCUUCUCAAGUGCAGCAAGGUCCUCACGAGCUUCCGAGAAUUCUCCUUCUUCCAUACCCUCACCCACGUACCAGUGAACAAAGGCACGCUUGGCAUACAUGAGAUCAAACUUGUGGUCAAUGCGGGAGAACACCUCAGCAACGCUGGUUGAGUUGGAAAUCAUGCAAACGGCUCUCUGGACCUUAGCAAGAUCACCACCAGGAACGACAGUCGGUGGCUGGUAGUUGAUACCACACUUGAAUCCAGUUGGGCACCAGUCAACGAAUUGAAUAGUUCUCUUGGUCUUGAUGGUGGCAACAGCAGCAUUGACAUCCUUGGGCACAACAUCACCACGGUACAUCAAACAGCAAGCCAUAUACUUGCCAUGGCGAGGAUCACACUUGGCCAUCAUAGAUGAG